Molecule: ribosomal RNA, 253 nt
Filed under: uncultured bacterium
Lineage: Bacteria
Description: partial 16S ribosomal RNA
Rfam family: Bacterial small subunit ribosomal RNA
Source: RNAcentral
UACGAAGGGGGCUAGCGUUGUUCGGAAUUACUGGGCGUAAAGGGCGCGUAGGCGGUGUGUCAAGUCAGGCGUGAAAGCCCCGGGCUCAACCUGGGAACAGCGCUUGAGACUGGCACGCUCGAGUUCGGGAGAGGAUGGUGGAAUUCCCAGUGUAGAGGUGAAAUUCGUAGGUAUUGGGAAGAACACUGAUGGCGAAGGCAGCCAUCUGGACCGACACUGACGCUGAGGCGCGAAAGCGUGGGGAGCAAACAGG